RNAcentral lists this ribosomal RNA (465 nucleotides) under Vreelandella stevensii. Its description in RNAcentral is "partial 16S ribosomal RNA". It matches the Rfam family "Bacterial small subunit ribosomal RNA", at positions 338 to 795 of the family's 1533-position model. Lineage: Bacteria; Pseudomonadati; Pseudomonadota; Gammaproteobacteria; Oceanospirillales; Halomonadaceae. The record is from RNAcentral.
CCUACGGGUGGCAGCAGUGGGGAAUAUUGGACAAUGGGCGAAAGCCUGAUCCAGCCAUGCCGCGUGUGUGAAGAAGGCCUUCGGGUUGUAAAGCACUUUCAGUGGGGAAGAAAGCCUUGGGGCUAAUACCCUCGAGGAAGGACAUCACCCACAGAAGAAGCACCGGCUAACUCCGUGCCAGCAGCCGCGGUAAUACGGAGGGUGCGAGCGUUAAUCGGAAUUACUGGGCGUAAAGCGCGCGUAGGCGGUCUGAUAAGCCGGUUGUGAAAGCCCCGGGCUCAACCUGGGAACGGCAUCCGGAACUGUCAGGCUAGAGUGCAGGAGAGGAAGGUAGAAUUCCCGGUGUAGCGGUGUAAUGCGUAGAGAUCGGGAGGAAUACCAGUGGCGAAGGCGGCCUUCUGGACUGACACUGACGCUGAGGUGCGAAAGCGUGGGUAGCAAACAGGAUUAGAUACCCGAGUAGUC